AGUUGGAAACGACUGCUAAUACCGCAUACGAUCCAAUCUCGGCAUCGAGACUGGAUGAAAGGUGGCCUCUAUUUAUAAGCUAUCACUGAAGGAGGGGAUUGCGUCUGAUUAGCUAGUUGGAGGGGUAACGGCCCACCAAGGCGAUGAUCAGUAGCCGGUCUGAGAGGAUGAACGGCCACAUUGGGACUGAGACACGGCCCAGACUCCUACGGGAGGCAGCAGUGGGGAAUCUUCCGCAAUGGACGAAAGUCUGACGGAGCAACGCCGCGUGAGUGAUGACGGCCUUCGGUUGUAAAGCUCUGUUAAUCGGGACGAAUGGUUCUUGUGCGAAUAGUGCGAGGAUUUGACGGUACCGGAAUAGAAAGCCACGGCUAACUACGUGCCAGCAGCCGCGGUAAUACGUAGGUGGCAAGCGUUGUCCGGAAUUAUUGGGCGUAAAGCGCGCGCAGGCGGAUUGGUCAGUCUGAAGUUAAAGGCUGUGGCUUAACCAUAGUACGCUUUGGAAACUGUUUAACUUGAGUGCAGAAGGGAGG
This 533-nucleotide ribosomal RNA is filed under the name uncultured bacterium. RNAcentral's name for it is "bacterial SSU rRNA". It matches the Rfam family "Bacterial small subunit ribosomal RNA", at positions 148 to 659 of the family's 1533-position model. The record is from RNAcentral.